AUUGAACGCUGGCGGCAUGCCUUACACAUGCAAGUCGAACGGUAACAGGGAGCUUGCUCCGCUGACGAGUGGCGAACGGGUGAGUAAUGUAUCGGAACGUACCUUUUAGUGGGGGAUAACGUAGCGAAAGUUACGCUAAUACCGCAUAUUCUCUGAGGAGGAAAGCAGGGGACCUUCGGGCCUUGCGCUAAUAGAGCGGCUGAUAUCAGAUUAGCUAGUUGGUGAGGUAAAGGCUCACCAAGGCGACGAUCUGUGGCGGGUCUGAGAGGAUGAUCCGCCACACUGGAACUGGGACACGGUCCAGACUCCUACGGGAGGCAGCAGUGGGGAAUUUUGGACAAUGGGGGCAACCCUGAUCCAGCCAUGCCGCGUGAGUGAAGAAGGCCUUCGGGUUGCAAAGCUCUUUCGGCCGGGAAAAAAUCGCAUGGGUUAAUACCCUGUGUGGAUGAUGGUACCGGAAUAAGAAGCACCGGCUAACUACGUGCCAGCCGCCGCCGUAA
RNAcentral lists this ribosomal RNA (500 nucleotides) under uncultured bacterium. RNAcentral's name for it is "partial 16S ribosomal RNA". It matches the Rfam family "Bacterial small subunit ribosomal RNA", at positions 30 to 523 of the family's 1533-position model. The record is from RNAcentral.